AGCGGAGAAAGAACUCACGGGCACUUUGGGGUCUCAAACAUACUGCAGCCUACCGGGGUAGGAUCCAGGAGAGGGAAAUGCAUCAAGUCAAGAUGGUGGAGGAAGGGAGAAAAAAUAAAAACAAAUCAAGAUAUAAGGUGCACAGUAGUGAAGAAUCAAUGACUGACUACUAGUACUUGGAUCCCUGAAUGACCACAUGGGGUAGAGCAACUCAGGACUAUUUAAAGUUAUAUUUGUGACAUGGGAGAAAUAAACAUCUGCCUUCAUUAA
Molecule: non-coding RNA, 270 nt
Organism: Chlorocebus sabaeus (green monkey)
Lineage: Eukaryota; Metazoa; Chordata; Mammalia; Primates; Cercopithecidae
Source: RefSeq, a predicted model, not a curated record